This is a ribosomal RNA of Urocitellus parryii (Arctic ground squirrel), 99 nucleotides long. The record is from Ensembl. NCBI's taxonomy places the organism in Eukaryota, Metazoa, Chordata, Mammalia, Rodentia, Sciuridae.
GUCUAUGGCCAUACCAUCCUGAACUCGCCCGAUCUCGUCUGAUCUCGGAAGAAAAUGCAAUAUCAUAGUGUUAACUGAAGAUUGGAGCAGCCAUGAACA